This 559-nucleotide ribosomal RNA is filed under the name uncultured bacterium. RNAcentral describes it as "bacterial SSU rRNA". It matches the Rfam family "Bacterial small subunit ribosomal RNA", at positions 102 to 694 of the family's 1533-position model. The record is from RNAcentral.
ACGGGUGAGUAACGCGUAGGUAUCUAUCCAUGGGUGGGGGAUAACGUUGGGAAACUGACGCUAAUACCGCAUGAAACCCGAGGGUCAAAGGCGCGAGUCGCCUAUGGAGGAGCCUGCGUCCGAUUAGCUAGUUGGUGGGGUAAAGGCCUACCAAGGCUGCGAUCGGUAGCUGGUCUGAGAGGAUGAUCAGCCACACUGGGACUGAGACACGGCCCAGACUCCUACGGGAGGCAGCAGUGGGGAAUAUUGGACAAUGGGGGCAACCCUGAUCCAGCAAUGCCGCGUGGAUGAAGAAGGUCUUCGGAUUGUAAAGUCCUUUCGGCGGGGACGAUGAUGACGGUACCCGCAGAAGAAGCCCCGGCUAACUUCGUGCCAGCAGCCGCGGUAAUACGAAGGGGGCUGGCGUUGCUCGGAAUGACUGGGCGUAAAGGGCGCUUAGGCGGCUUAGACAGUCAGGCGUGAAAUUCCCGGGCUUAACCUGGGGGCUGCGCUUGAUACAUCUGGGCUUGAGUGGGGAAGAGGGUCGUGGAAUUCCCAGUGUAGAGGUGAAAUUCGUAGA